GACGAACGCUGGCGGCGUGCUUAACACAUGCAAGUCGAACGGAAAGGCCCUGCUUUUGUGGGGUGCUCGAGUGGCGAACGGGUGAGUAACACGUGAGUAACCUGCCCUUGACUUUGGGAUAACUUCAGGAAACUGGGGCUAAUACCGGAUAGGAGCUCCUGCUGCAUGGUGGGGGUUGGAAAGUUUCGGCGGUUGGGGAUGGACUCGCGGCUUAUCAGCUUGUUGGUGGGGUAGUGGCUUACCAAGGCUUUGACGGGUAGCCGGCCUGAGAGGGUGACCGGCCAAAUUGGGACCGAGAUACGGCCCAGACUCCUACGGGAGGCAGCAGGGGGGAAUAUUGCACCAUGGGCGGAAGCCUGAUUCAGCAACGCCGCGUGCGGGAUGACGGCCUUCGGGUUGUAAACCGCUUUCGCCUGGGACGAAGCGUGAGUGACGGUAAUGGGUAAAGAAGCACCGGCCAACUACGUG
This 468-nucleotide ribosomal RNA is filed under the name uncultured bacterium. RNAcentral describes it as "partial 16S ribosomal RNA". It matches the Rfam family "Bacterial small subunit ribosomal RNA", at positions 28 to 507 of the family's 1533-position model. The record is from RNAcentral.